This 770-nucleotide long non-coding RNA is filed under the name Pan troglodytes (chimpanzee). RNAcentral's name for it is "lncRNA (ENSPTRG00000053919.1)". Lineage: Eukaryota; Metazoa; Chordata; Mammalia; Primates; Hominidae. The record is from RNAcentral.
GUUAUGUGUAUUUUGAAACAGGAAAUCUCGCCAUCCUCACCAAAGCCAUUUCCUUGAGAGGAUUUUAUCUGGUUUGUCUCCUUGACUCCAGGCAGGGCUCCAUUCCAACCAGAUGGAAGAAUGCAGACAUCUCACAUCAUUUACACCCAGAAGGCUGUCAGCAGCGGCGCUCAGGGAGUGAGAGUGUUUAAUCUCGAGGAGGAAAUAGAAUGUAUACACACCCUGCAAACUGAGAUGUUUUACGUUGGCUCUGGCUCCUACCGCCCCCAUGUGCGGCAGCAGCUACCAAGACUCUACUGUGAAUCCCCAUGACUGGGCUCUCACUGGCAAAAUCUACUUGUUUCCAGCAAUACAGAGUGGAUCUGGGCAUGGGCAGAAGAUGGGUACAGCAGAAAUUUGGCAGUUACUCAGCAUGAGCUGCUUUCUUCACACAUGGACACAACCACAAAUACCUGCCUUUUCUUUUCUCCCCACCAACUUCCAGUCUUUUAGUUUGCUUUGCCCUGUGAAGGCUUGUAGUCUUUUCUACUCCUCUUGUCAGUCAGGAAAAUUACUCUGAUAAUCCUUGCACAGCAAGGUGGUAGACACAUCCCAUGCUUGAUUUGGGGGGUGGUGGUCCUUGGCCACAAAUAAAUCAGAAGCCCACUAUAGCUGACUUAAGCAGAAAAAGAAUUUAUUAGGGGAAGUGGAUGUUCCCAUAGGCUACACACAGACAGGAGAGCAAGGCUUGGGGCACGUCCCCGAGGAGGACACCCAAGGGGCACCAUGGC